Long non-coding RNA from Vicia villosa (hairy vetch), 930 nucleotides. RefSeq lists it as uncharacterized. The transcript has 3 exons. NCBI's taxonomy places the organism in Eukaryota, Viridiplantae, Streptophyta, Magnoliopsida, Fabales, Fabaceae. The record is from RefSeq and is a predicted model, not a curated record.
AAAAGGUGAAAUUAGGUUUAUUGUUGUGACUCUUCAGAUCCUCUCUCAGUUUCACCCUCUCCUCUCUCACGAAGACGAACGGCGCUCCCUCACCGUCUCCGAUCAAAACCUACAGCGCCGUCGUGAAAUUCUUCCGGCCACCGUGUCCUUGAAUCCCUCUCCUCAAAUCUCCUUCCUUCUUUUCCCAAUUUUUACCCUAACUCGCUAAAUCUACGAUUACAGAGAAACCCUAGGUAUUGGGACCUUGGAUUCAAGCGCGAUAUUAUGAAAUUGAAGCAAGUGGAGUUCUAAUUGGAUCAUAGAUGCACAGAUAAGAGUCAAAGAACGGAGAUUCCCGACCACCGCGAAACUCAGGGUUGAAAUAGAGGUGACUACGUUUUUAAAAAAAAUGCUGCUAAUGUCUUGGGCUGUAACAAUAAUGAUGAUGAUGCUGCACAUUUUGAAUUGAUUUUUACUGCAGAAUUUGAUGAAGAAAGUUGUUGAGUCCACAAGCAUAUGAAUGGUCGAUGUUAACCAGUGAUACGCUGAAUGAAGGACACAGAUCCAAUUGCAGGUUGAAGCUUGGGCGAAGGCGUGUUAUGUUGAUGAAUAUGAGCGAAUCGGUUGCGAAGAAAACUUGAGUGUAUUCUGGAAUAGCAUGGCCAAAGGCUUUGAUUCCCACAUGUUGUGAACCUGAAACUCACCCAUUUCCUUCUUUCUUCUGCAGGUGCUGUAUGAUAUACAUGCAGAAGCGAUGAGCAUAGCUUUGGCAUGAGGAGUAAGGGUGAUGGGAGGUGGUGAAGUUGAAGACUUAGAAACGAUAUACCGUUUUUUUUAUGAAAUUUGUUUGAAUUUUAGUCAACAUGGACUUUCAUGUAAUUUCCGGUUCCCUUUUGUAACAACUCAUUCUAAUUGAAUUCCUUGUAGUAUGUGAUUGAACUUGAAUUUUGA